This 24-nucleotide non-coding RNA is filed under the name Mus musculus (house mouse). RNAcentral also lists the same sequence under 1 other name. Lineage: Eukaryota; Metazoa; Chordata; Mammalia; Rodentia; Muridae. The record is from RNAcentral.
AUCGGAUCCGUCUGAGCUUGGCUG